CAGCCGCCGCGGUAAUACGAAGGGGGCUAGCGUUGCUCGGAAUGACUGGGCGUAAAGGGCGCGUAGGCGGUUUGUCGAGUUAGAUGUGAAAUUCCCGGGCUUAACCUGGGGACUGCAUUUGAUACUGGCAGGCUUGAGUGUGGAAGAGGGUCGUGGAAUUCCCAGUGUAGAGGUGAAAUUCGUAGAUAUUGGGAAGAACACCGGUGGCGAAGGCGGCGACCUGGUCCAUAACUGACGCUGAGGCGCGAAAGCGUGGGGAGCAAACAGGAUUAGAUACCCCCGUAGUCCCUGUCUCUUAUAC
Molecule: ribosomal RNA, 301 nt
Filed under: uncultured bacterium
Lineage: Bacteria
Description: partial 16S ribosomal RNA
Rfam family: Bacterial small subunit ribosomal RNA
Source: RNAcentral